Molecule: long non-coding RNA, 5800 nt
Organism: Bacillus rossius redtenbacheri
Lineage: Eukaryota; Metazoa; Arthropoda; Insecta; Phasmatodea; Bacillidae
Exons: 2
Source: RefSeq, a predicted model, not a curated record
ACAAUAUUGUAGAUAUAUAUCCCAUUGUUUCAUAUUGUAUACUGUAAAACUGCUCGGUUUAGUAUAUUUUGUUAUACCACUUAAAUUAAUUCUACAUUUUCAAAUUGAUAUUAAUGUUUCUGGUAUCGUAAAGUUUACUAUAGCUGUAUAAGUAACACAGUACUGUUAAUAUAAUAUUUAUAGUGUUAUAUUGUAUACUGGGUAAAUAUGUAGUGUACGGAUUAUCGUCAAAAAUUUUUUAAAAAUCUGAAAUAACGUCCUCUUUUCAUUACAACUUGUGGAGAUAAGAAAUUCCAAUUACUUUUGGAGAUAUCGAAUUUUUAAAUUUUAAUCACUAUACCUGUACAUUCACACGGCAUUCAUCAUUGUUUUUUGUUUAUUGGAUAAUGUUGUCACAUGAUAGUUCGUGAUAGGCCAAUAUUCAAAUGAACCAAUAGGUGAUGAUUUAUUCAUUUAUUGUUGCGCGUAAAAAAAAAUUACGUUCAUUACUACUGUUAAUCCUUUGUUCCGGUUUGUUAGGUUAGGUCAGCUACAUUAUAAAUACUUUAAAACUAAACAACCAUUAAAAUUAAUUUUAUUAUUUUUAAUGUCCGAUCAGUUUCAAAGUAUUUAUAAUGUAGCUGACCUGACCUAAUCUACUUUUGUCCCGUUUUGUUAGGUCAGGUCAGUUACAUUAUAAAUACUUAAAACUAUACAACAAGUAAAAUUAAUGAUAUUAUUUUUAAUUUCCGUUUAUUUUGAACUAUUAAUAAUGUAACUAACCUUACCUAAUGGAAGAUUUCUGUUAUUUAAGCAUUCACGCACACACAACAAAAUAUAAAAUUUCGGCGGUUGAAUGAUUACAUAGGUCUUGUAUUACAAAAUAAGAACAGCGAUAUCUGCAAAAGUAAUUGGAAUUUCUUAUCUCCGCAGGCUGUAAUGAAAAGAGGACGUAAAAGAGCAUAUAAUAAAAUUUAUUUCAGAUUUUUAUAAUUUUUUUUGACGGUAAUCCGUACACUACAUAUUUACCGUAUAUUGUAGUUCCACCCCGCUUAAUAUAUUUUGCGAUACCACAUUUGUGUAUUUUAAUUGUUUGCGGUUUUGGUAAUUUUUUCGCGUUGCAGCUUUUUCAUAAAUGAAGUAAUGAAAUUUUGAAAAUACUUUUUUCGAACACAAAAGACAUUCCUUUUUUUUUACCCUGUAAAUGGCAUUUCUUAAUUCCUACUGGUUUCUCUGAAAUUAUUGUUUGUAGUUCAUAUUAGAUAGUCUAUGCAGUGAAGCAACCGUCUCCAUGUUGUGCUUUCAUUGUGUUGCUGAUAUUGUGAGUUUCCAUGCAUAAGACCGGUUAUAUAUAUAUUUUUAUUUAAAUGUUGUAAUACAAUUUAAUGUAAAUAAUAACUUAAAAAAAAUUACUUGAGUCCCUGCUAUGCAUCGAAACCGAAGCAUAAACCCUUUCACAGGGAUUUGUUUUAGCAGUAUGGAGGCGUGAAGCUUCGACAUGUUAUGUGUGAUAUCAUGUAACCUGACGUAUUAAAGGAAUUGUUAUUUCGUGUAUCAAACAUAAUAAUUCCUUUUGUAGGUAGUAUGUCAGGUUACGUGCUCUCAUAUAUAACUACUACAAAUCACAUGUUAGUAAAAAUCUACUUACCUUUCUUGGCUUUAUAGCAAUAAUUGUUUAUUGUCAAUAUUUAUUGUGUAAAUAUACCCCAAAAAAAUUUGCUAUUCCUCCAUUUAAUUCAUUAUAUAUUGCAAAUUGUCAUAUUCCUGGUCAUUACUACAAUUACAACCUCACAUUCUUUCUCUACCAUUAUAUUAAUUCAAUAUAAAUAAUCAUUACCUAGAUCUUCUCUUGUGAAUACUACUCUCAUUACCACACAUAGAUCUAUCCAAUAAAUUUAUUUUUGCUUAUUAAAUUCUUAUUGUGUUAUUUUACUUUGUUCCUCCAUCCAAGUGUGUUAUCCUUUACAUCAUACAUUUCCCUGUACUUUCUUUCCAACCAAUAGUAAGUAUGAUUUAAAGUGAACUUGACCCAAGUUUCGUAUCACAUAUCUAAGUUUAUACAUACCUUAAUCCUGUAGUACAUGAUGCUUGCUGUUUAAAUUUAGUUCAUUGAAAGAUCCUGGACAUAGCAAAAAAUUGUGAUAUAACAAUGCAUUAUAAUCAUUAGUUGAUAUGAAAGAAAAAAUUCCACACGACCUGACUUAUUUUUAUUAUAUUGUGAUAUGGGCAAUUCCAUUUGAAAUGAACCUUAGAACCAAAAUGUGAAAUUAUUAUUAUGAAAACAGUUUGUCAAUAAAUAGUUUAAAAACAAAUUAUAUUUCACAAAAUUUGUUGAAAUACAUUCAUAUAUAAUUUUUACAAUCUCUUAAAGUUUGUGGUACUUAAUUGUUGAUUGUAAAGAGUGUUAUAUUGUGAGUAUGUUAGCAACCCUGCUUUACACACCAUGAGACAUCCAUCUUGUUUUGUUUGUGCUGCAAUAGCAAGAGUGGACAUUGCCUUCUGUACUUCCACAAAAUUACAUUUUACAGAUGCUGAAAUGCCUCUCACAGUGACGGAUCGUGUUAGGAAAUAACAAAAUCAGACCCAAAUAAAAGGAAAGAGUAUCUCAAGAAAGAAAGGGAACGAGAUAAGAAAAGGCGAGAAGCUAGAAAACGUGAGCUGCUAACAAACAAUAAAAAGCUCAAUGCAAAAAGAAGAAAUGAUAGAGAAUGUCAAAGAUCAUGCAGGCAAAGGAAGAAGGACUUGAUGACUGUAACAAAGGUACACAUUACAUCCCCUAUUGGUUCAUAUAAAUGUCCUCAAUCAUUUGGGAAAGCUGUGGCAAAAGUAAAAAAAUUACUUCCUAACAGCCCAAGCAAAAAGCAAGCUGUUCUAAAUAAAAUUGUACUAGAAACAUUUGACCCUCAAACAUCUAAAAAUAUUUAUAAAAGAGUGAAGAAAGGUUCCAGGAACAUAUCUCAUGCCGACAAAACUGAAGUUGAGAAUUUCUAUUGCCGGGAUGAUGCGAGUCAUCAGGCUCCUGGCAUUAGAGAUGUCAAGUCUGUGAAAGAUAAAAUGACUGGUACAAGACAACUGGUUCAAAAACGUUACAUGGUUUUGACAGUGGGAGAAGCUUAUGAGGAAUUCAAGAAACAUAACCCUGACAUAAAAAUAAAGAAAUCUAAGUUUCAUUCUCUUCAGCCGCAGUACAUUUUGCCUGUAUCUCAAAUACCCCACAAUGUUUGCAUUUGUAAAUCUUGCAAAUUUCAAUUUUUUGACUGAUCCUUUGGCAAAUUUGAUACCCAACUUUCCAAAAACUUCAAAAGAUCUCCUAAGUAAUGCAAGUUGUGAUGUAAACAAUGAAAAGUGCAUGACAGGAGUAUGUGGUAGUUGCCCAGAUCUUCAGUUACCACAAACGGUUAACCUGUCUGUUUCAUGGAAACAAUGGAAGGACAUCAAUGGUCACCUAAAAAUAAUUGAAAACAUAUCAUCAUUACGAGAUGCAUUUAAAGAGCUGAAAAUGCUGAUUCCAUCAACUUCACUGUUAUGUUAGGAAAAUCAAAUCUGAUUUUUUUGAAAGGAAAAAAAGAGCUGGGUGAAAAUGAAGCAGUUGUACAGAUUGAUUUUGCGGAAAAUUAUGCUUUGAUUUGUCAGGAUGAAAUCCAAAGUGCCCACUGGAGCCACUCCCAGGUUACCUUAUUCACGUGUUGUGUGUGGCAAAAAAAUUGUGUGCAAUCAUACUCAGUGGUAAGUGAUGACCUGUCUCAUGACAAGUAUUAUGUGUGGUGCUUUCUCAAAGAAGUAAUUUCAGAAGUAAAAGCUGCUAAUCCUAACAUUAGUUACAUCUACAUAUUUUCAGAUAAUUGUGCUGCACAGUUUAAAAAUAAAUUUACAUUGUCAAACUUGUGCAAAAUGGAAAAGGAUUUUGGGGUUACAGGAGUGUGGAUUUUUUUUGCUACCUCCCACGGUAAGGGUACUGUUGAUGGUAUUGGUGGGUCAGUGAAGCGGUGUGUCUGGAAAACAGUGAGGGCAAGAGAGGCAAUUGUAAAUACAGCUGAGCAGUUUUACAUUGUUGCACAAGGAAAACUAAAAGGUAUAAAAAUUCUCUUUGUAUCACAUGACCAUGUGGAAAAAACAAAGCUAUGUUGAGUAAAAGGUGGAAUGGUGUCAAAAAAAUACCUGGAAUCCAAAUGUGCCAUUACUUUAUGGGAUACGAUGAUGAUAACAUUCUUGCAGGGAGAACAGCUGUAUCAGAAAUGGAAAAGGUAACCGUUUUCCCAAAAGAAGUCCACACAAAAUGUAUACACUACAGUGAUGUCUAUAGUGAUUCCGGCGACGACUUUAAUAGCAACCAAAAUCCUGGACCAUCGACUGAUGUUUUAAAUUAUAGACUGCUCACGCCAGUAAACAUUGGACCUGACAUUUACGUUGUUGAAUUACAUUCGACAAAUAAAAAGUUGGUCUACAAAUAUGUAGCAGUGUGUCAAAGUGAAGUUUGUGAAACUGAUGGGGAUGUGAAAGUAAUGUUUCUAAAAAUGUACGGAAACAAUAGGAAAGUGUUCAAAACAGACAAAAAUGACAUUGCUGAUGUACCUUUUGAACAGAUUAUGAAAAUAUUGCCCUCUCAAAAAUUGCAGUUUCGAGGUGAAAGAGUUGUUUAUGAAUUUCCGGAUUGUGUAGAUGUUUACGAGAGGGGUUGAACAUUAUGUCACAAAUAGUUAAGAAAUGAAAUGCAUUAGUGUCAAAGGUUAGGAAUUGUGUGCAAUUAUAGAUAUGUUUUAGUAAGUUUAAUGUUGAUGAGAAUAAAUGCAUAUCCAGACACAUUUGUUUUGCUGUUGUAUACAUUUAUUAAGUGACAUGUUUGCAUGUGGUCACACCCAUAACAGACCUCUGUCUCACCCGUAACAUUCAAAAGUGUUGUGAAUAUGAAUAAAUAAAAAAUAUUUUUUGUAACUAGCUAAUGCUUAGUUAAUUCCAAAAUAUUUAGCCAAUUGCAAAAGAGAAUUGAUAACUGAAUGUACAAUACUUUCGCAGAAUUUUAUGUAUAUCUUCAUGCUUGCUAAAGUGUUUGUCCAAAAUGAGUCACACCCAUAACAGGAUCUUUUAAGGCAACGUUGCUUGAUUAUCAUUUAUGUUUUCUAACUCGAAUGGAGGUAUGAGUUCUUUGGGACAAAACUUUUCUGGCUAACUAAACAUUUAAAACUGAUUAUUUAUUACUUACAAGUUAUUUUAAUUUUUGUGUGUACAAGUCACACCCGUAACAAUGGAAUUACCCUUAUUCAAUUUUUUGAUUGGCCAGGAUCUUUCGGCAGAAUUAUUUAUAUAUGUUAUGUAUAUUGUUUCAUACAUAUGAUAUAUUAUUCAAUAUUCUUCUAUAUUCGCUAGAAAUGGUAAACCAAUUGGGAUAAAAUAUUCUUGGCUCUGGCCGUAACAUUCUGACAUUAAAAAUCCCUGUAAUUUUGAAAACAGUCUUGGCUACACUGUAUUCUUAAGGAUCUCUGGUGAACCACACGAUAAAAAUCAGCCCAAUCUCACAUGGAAAACAGUCUCGGCUACGCCAUUAAAGCACAACAUGGCUGCUGCUGCUUCACUGCACAGGCUAUCUAAUUGAAUUUAUAAACAGUAGUUUCUCAGAAACUGUUUCUCAAACACUGUUUUCAUGGUUAAUAGAAAAACUUCUUUAGUGUUCAAAAACACAGUUUUUGGUGGUUCUGUUUUCUUUUUCCGGAAAAAAACAGUGACUCUUUCAAUUUAAGUACCUACCAACUUUUUUUAUGAUGUAGAAUCUGUAAGGCUCACCAGUAGUUAACCAGAAGAGGGAAAAAAAAAUAAAACAUAAAAA